AAGUUUGGAGGUAAUUUUUAAAGAUAUUUUUAAAUUUUUUUAUUAUUUUGUUUUACAUGUAUGAGUGUUUUGCUCACAUGUAUGUCUGUGUGCCAGCAUUGUCUGGUAACCUCAGAGGUCAGAAGGUUUCUGACUCCCUGGAACAGGAAUUAUGGAUGAUUUCCAGACAACAUGUGAUGCUGGGAAUUGAACCCCAGGCCUUUGGAAGAGCAACAAAGUUCUUGACUGCUGAGCCAUCCUUCUAACCACCACCACCACCCUCUGGGAGUAAUUUCUUACACAGCAAUGGUUAGUUAAUAUGAGGGGUUUUGUAUACUUAGUAAAAAAACAAACAAGGCUCCGGGAAGAAUGUAAAAGCUGGGAGAUGGAGAGGCAUUCUCUAAAGUGCUGCCUGUGGACAUGACACUGUUGUUGGCAGCUGUAUAAGACACAAGACCUGCACAAGAUCAAGCCAACCAAAUUUCCAGCAUGGAUGAGGGAAAGGCUCAUGAGACUCUAUCCCUAAAGGAGGAGUUAUCAGCAGUUAACUGCUGGGAAUGGGAGGACCAGCCAUCCUUGGAGGGGUGCUUACUGGAUGGAUGCCCACACUCUACUGCUCUACUGGAUGAUCUCAUACACACAGGGAUGGCCAGCACUAAUGGGACUUACUAGAUUUUGUUUGUUUUCAAUGGGACAGGAAGUGGCGUGACUGAUGUGACAGGGGAGCUCUGAGGUGAGUUUGGAAUGGGGAAACGGCGGGUGGAUGUGAUCAUUUUUCAUUGUAUACACAUGGGCAAUUCCUGCUUCUUGAGCUCGCCAGGAAAGGCAGGGAUCUGUAGAGUAGAGCCAUGAAGCCUGAUAGCCUUCUAUGAGGGCAGGAAGUCACUAGGUGCUGGUUAUCCAUGGGCACCUGGUGGCGUUCGAAGGGCAGCAAUCAGGAAUCACCAGCUCCAGUAAAGACUUGCAAUGGCUCAGCCACCCCUGAAGAGUGGUCUGGGGGUCUCUUCAACAAAGAUCUGUAGCCACUUUUCCCUGGGCUCUGGCAUAGCUGGGUGCCCCAGUAAGGUUCCUUGGCCCCCAAAGGACCCAGGGCAGCUGGGAAUUCAUCCUGAAGUCUCUUGGCCAAGAGCUCUGGUUAGGGUUGUGGUUCUCUUUCAUUUUCUGACCACUGCUGGCUCUGUUUUACUUCUGUAGGUGAAGCACCCAUUUCCAGAAAGUGUAUAAAAUAAGCCAACUUCCCUAACCACCUGCCCGGGUUCUGACCUCUGAGCCAUGAAUAUGCAGGGAAACUACCACAUCUAUGUUUACAGCCCAGAUCUCUCUGUUAGUCUCUAGACAUGGAUUCCAUUGUACCCUCAUCUCCAUUUACAGGGAGGGUCUCAACACUUUAUGUCCAAAGAUAUUAUGUCCCUCCCUCUUUAUCGCUCCAGAUCUGUCAUCAUGAACUUAAUCCGUUAGUGUAUUCAGAAUAUAUUCAGAAUCUGAACACACUUAGGCACCCUGCUCCAUCAUCAGUGAAAGUCUAGGAAUCACAACCAGCAUUUUGCAAGAAUGAUCUUUUAAGACUAGUUGAUGGCUCUCCCGAUUAAAGAUUGGAGUGCUACCCAUCUGCUGUGGUUUGGGGAUGGUGUGAGGAUGGCCCAAAGGCUCACACACUGGAAGACUGGGUCCCAUGUGUACAGAGGUGGUGUGACUUCUAAGAGGUAGGGCUUCGUGAGAAGCUAAUUAGAUGAUAGUUCACUGUCCACAGAAGGACCUGAGUGGACCUUUGAGAGGUACCAUGACAGUGACCUGUAAAAAGAGCCAGCCUCAUCCCCUGACUCUCUCUGGCUUUUUUUGUCUUAUCAAAGCUUCUCUUUUGUAUAGACUCUUCCCAUUGUGAUGCCAUUCACCACGAGGUUCUCACCAGAGGCUCACACAACUGGGCUGGACUAGGUCUGGUCUUAGCCUUUCAGCCUCCAAAUCUAUGAGCUAAAUAAGCUUCCUUUCCUUGUAGGCACCCAAGACUCUGAUAUUCUGCAAGGCUGGUAGGAAAUGGAGCAGCACACGGUGUCCUCGUGAGGAAAAGCCAGCGUCCUCCUGGGUCUAUAAUUCAGUCCCACUCUGCUAUUGUCUGUCUCUCUCUUGCUUUGCUCCAGCCCAGGUCCCUGUAACAUGUCAGGGGCGCACCUCCUUUGGAACCUUGGUACUUUGGUACCUUGGAACCUUGGUGUUUUCCCUUCCUAGAGGGCUUUCCCCUGAGCCACUGUGUUGCUCCUGUCAGCUCAUUGUUGUGCAGAUAUCAUUUUUCUAAGGAAACCUCUCUCAUACGAAGUUGCUCACCUCACCCUUUCACCCUGCCCUCGCUCAUCCCUGAUACUGUUUCACUUUCUCACAGAGCUUAGCCCCGCGUGGCCUGCUGGAUGUCUGACAGAAGACAAAACAGUUCAAUUUCCAGGUCUUUCCUGAACUGCCUUCAUAACAUUCUCUUUAGGGUGGACAAUUCUGCUGCAGAACAAAGGCAUCCUUGGGUACUCUCCCUGGUUGCCACAACACCAAUUAAGAUACCCCUCCCCCUCAGACAGUAAAGCUCAGGGUCAACAGAAGAAACCAAGCUGGAGCUUCAAUGACAAAUGGGGACCAGAAGAAGACAGAACCAGCCUUUCCCUGCAAACGUGCUCCCAGCAGCUCGAUACCAGCUCCCCCUAAGUCAGAGAGACACGCAACAGAUCGCUGUACCACGGACCAUGGAUCAGUACUGCCCCCGUUCCUCAUACAGAAACACAGACUCCCACCCUCAGAGCAUCUACAUAGUCCCGAUACAGCUCCAGCCCCAGGAGGAGGGCUGGGAUGGGUCUGGAGGAAGCCAGGGCGGCCAGAACAUUACCUCUAAACAGCU
Long non-coding RNA from Mus musculus (house mouse), 2857 nucleotides. RefSeq annotates it as predicted gene, 52121. Lineage: Eukaryota; Metazoa; Chordata; Mammalia; Rodentia; Muridae. The transcript has 3 exons. The record is from RefSeq and is a predicted model, not a curated record.